AGGGCUAUAGCUCAGUUGGUAGAGCAGGAAAAAAGGAGCUUUGUCAAAAGCUUUUGCAGCAACUUUCUAUAGGAAUGAUAAUCCCCUUGUCGCCGGUUCGAGUCCGGUUAGCCCUA
Molecule: transfer RNA, 116 nt
Filed under: Lachnospiraceae bacterium A4
Lineage: Bacteria; Bacillati; Bacillota; Clostridia; Lachnospirales; Lachnospiraceae
Also listed under: 1 other name
Rfam family: tRNA
About the family: Transfer RNA (tRNA) molecules are approximately 80 nucleotides in length. Their secondary structure includes four short double-helical elements and three loops (D, anti-codon, and T loops).
Source: Rfam by way of RNAcentral